This 555-nucleotide ribosomal RNA is filed under the name Triticum aestivum (bread wheat). RNAcentral's name for it is "partial small subunit ribosomal RNA". Lineage: Eukaryota; Viridiplantae; Streptophyta; Magnoliopsida; Poales; Poaceae. The record is from RNAcentral.
AUGGCAGAAUGCUUCAAUAAGGUGCUCAAGGGUGUACGUGCAUUACCCGUGACGGCAAUAGUUCAAUACACAUUUGACAAGAUGAAUGAAUACUUUUUGAAGCACUCAAUGGAGACUGAUAAGCAGAUUGCUGGUGAGAACAAGGAUAAGCACAAGUACAAUUUCCCACCAAAGGUUGAAGAAUGGUUGGAAUUUCAAUCACGAAAGGUAGACUCCGAAGAAGCUGUUCUAUAUGAUGACAACGAGUGGAAGUAUGAGGUGAAAGAGCCCGGAGGAACCACAAAUGAUGGCCGCCAACACGGAGGCCGGGCUUUCAAGGUCUCCCUAACACGGUGUGAUUGCAGCUGCAUGAGGCCGUCUUUGCUUCAUCUCCCAUGCUCGCACUUGUUAAACGCAUCCCGGGUUAGGAAUGUGGACGUCAAUCACCCUCUAACCGUGAGGGCGUCCGAGUUCUCAAUCAUGACGGUAAAGAAGACAUGGACUCCACGGUUCCAGCCAUACUUGGACCAAUCACAAUGGCCGGAGUAUCAUGGAGUUCAACUAUGGCCGGACCCG